Molecule: ribosomal RNA, 447 nt
Filed under: uncultured bacterium
Lineage: Bacteria
Description: bacterial SSU rRNA
Rfam family: Bacterial small subunit ribosomal RNA
Source: RNAcentral
CCCAGACUCCUACGGGAGGCAGCAGUGGGGAAUAUUGCACAAUGGGGGAAACCCUGAUGCAGCGACGCCGCGUGAGUGAAGAAGUAUUUCGGUAUGUAAAGCUCUAUCAGCAGGGAAGAAAAUGACGGUACCUGACUAAGAAGCCCCGGCUAACUACGUGCCAGCAGCCGCGGUAAUACGUAGGGGGCAAGCGUUAUCCGGAUUUACUGGGUGUAAAGGGAGCGUAGACGGCAGGGCAAGUCUGGAGUGAAAGGCAGGGGCCCAACCCCUGGACUGCUCUGGAAACUGUCCGGCUGGAGUGCAGGAGAGGUAAGUGGAAUUCCUAGUGUAGCGGUGAAAUGCGUAGAUAUUAGGAGGAACACCAGUGGCGAAGGCGGCCUACUGGACGGUGACUGACGCUGAGGCUCGAAAGCGUGGGGAGCAAACAGGAUUAGAUACCCGGGUAUC